Molecule: ribosomal RNA, 253 nt
Filed under: uncultured bacterium
Lineage: Bacteria
Description: partial 16S ribosomal RNA
Rfam family: Bacterial small subunit ribosomal RNA
Source: RNAcentral
UACGUAGGGGGCUAGCGUUGCUCGGAAUCACUGGGCGUAAAGGGUGCGUAGGUGGAUCUUUAAGUCAGAGGUGAAAUCCUGGAGCUCAACUCCAGAACUGCCUUUGAUACUGAGGAUCUUGAGUUCGGGAGAGGUGAGUGGAACUGCGAGUGUAGAGGUGAAAUUCGUAGAUAUUCGCAAGAACACCAGUGGCGAAGGCGGCUCACUGGCCCGAUACUGACACUGAGGCACGAAAGCGUGGGGAGCAAACAGG